This 460-nucleotide ribosomal RNA is filed under the name uncultured bacterium. RNAcentral describes it as "partial 16S ribosomal RNA". It matches the Rfam family "Bacterial small subunit ribosomal RNA", at positions 338 to 795 of the family's 1533-position model. The record is from RNAcentral.
CCUACGGGGGGCAGCAGUGAGGAAUAUUGGUCAAUGGACGAGAGUCUGAACCAGCCAAGUAGCGUGAAGGAUGACUGCCCUAUGGGUUGUAAACUUCUUUUAUAAAGGAAUAAAACGAGGCACGUGUGCCUUUUUGCAUGUACUUUAUGAAUAAGGAUCGGCUAACUCCGUGCCAGCAGCCGCGGUAAUACGGAGGAUCCGAGCGUUAUCCGGAUUUAUUGGGUUUAAAGGGAGCGUAGAUGGGUUGUUAAGUCAGUUGUGAAAGUUUGCGGCUCAACCGUAAAAUUGCAAUUGAUACUGGCAGUCGUGAGUACAGUUGAGGUAGGCGGAAUUCGUGGUGUAGCGGUGAAAUGCUUAGAUAUAACGAAGAACCCCGAUUGCGAAGGCAGCUUACUAAACUGUGACUGACAUUGAUGCUCGAAAGUGUGGGUAUCAAACAGGAUUAGAUACCCGAGUAGUC